AUUCUGUCCUGAAAUGUUCUUGGUUACCUCGUGUGUCCUCCAUGGUUAGUCAGUUACUUUUCAUUUAGAAUUGUAUUAUAUUAACUCUUCUAUGGAGCUGUUUUGCUAGGCACCAUUUUAGAAAAGCAUGGCGUGUAAUCCCUUAACAGAAAUGCAUGUGUGGAUGCAGUUCUUCGUCUUUUUAUUAAAAAUUGUUCUUCCAAACAUGGAGUGUGUAUUGUCUUCAGAUCUUCAUUUUAGGUGUGCUUGUUUCUUAAGGAAUGAAUUCCCCAGGUUUUCGGUAACUAUUCAUAAUAUUUUUAUAUCAGCUCUUUUUACGAACAUACCAGAUUAAUUUUGCAGCAAUGGCAUCCAGUAAUAUUAUAAUGAAAAAUAAGAUUGCAUUUUAUCCCUGAGAAUUCUCGUCAAGCAUUAACUUUUUGCUACAUGAGGGGAAAAUCUAUUAAAGUCACACCAUCUUUGUCUUCUUAAGCCUUAGUUUCCCCAAGUGCUUAGUGAGAAAUAACAUAAAAGGCCCCCUUAGUGCUGUGUAGACUAAUGACAAAAAUUAUUGGAUUAAUGUUUGGAAAGUGUUUCAGAAUUCUCUCAAGAAAGCUAUUAUGUAAGUAGCAAGUACUAUUAUUAUUUUGCUAUUUCAGCUUCCUUAUUUUUCAUCUCUCAAAGUCAUUUGGGUCAUUUACUAUGGAAUUUUCUGAUUCCUUGACAGUUUUUAAUGGCUCUUUGGAGAGCCUUUUGAGGGCUGUUUAAUCCCUUUGUUGAUGAUCCAUCUGCUUGUGGAGUUCAUGCUUUUUUCACAACACAUUAAUAUUCAGGAUUUAAAAAAAAUGGUUGUAGCUAUUUUGUACCUAGAUGAAAUUGCUUAUCUUUAGGAGAAGAAAUUUAUGAUCUUGGUUUUCAAAUUGGAUUUUUUAUUUUCUGUAGACUUACUUUUUUUUUUUUUUUUUUUUUUGGUGGGUAGGUGGAAAUGGAGCCUGGCAAUGCCAAUUAUUAAUCACAGUAUUUGGAAGAAAUAUACUUAGAGCAUGAACCCCCAAAUCAUUCUCUGAAGUCACCCCGAUGCCUUCUUCCUGUAGUAUGCCAGUCUUUAUGCUCUCCAGAUCGGAAUCACGAAUUAACUGUGCCAUCUCCAUGGGCUUGAAUCACGUGCUUUGAAUUCUCACACAUAGAUUAUAGCAAUUUAUGUUUUCUCACAAUUGAGGAAAAGAAAGGAACAGCAUAUUUUCUGGCUUCUUUAUCCUGUAAGCUCUUACAAAGAGGAAGUAGAACCAGAGGCUGAUUUCUUCCAGAGAAAUAAAAGUUUCAGCGUGGGGGAAAAAAGAAAAAAGAUAAAACUGAUAAUUAGGAUCAUACUGCUGCUUAGUGACAAAAUUUUACAUAUAUAAAUAUAAAUAUAUAUGUAUAUAAUAGAAAUUUAUUCAGGGGUUUAUAUGUACAUAUAACUCCAGUAAAUCUCAUUCCAAGUAGACUUAAUAUACAGAAGUUGUACCUUCACAGUCGUUACAUAUAGAAAGGCAAAUUAGUCAAGCUCAACUUUUAUUCUUCCCGUAGUUUUCUGAAAAUAAUUGUUUUCCUGACUGGACAGUAUUAAGUGAUUCUUUUUUUAAAACAAGAAUAGUCCUAACUUCUUGUUCUGAUAAUAGAAAUUGAAAGUACAUACUUAGACAUCUUCAUACCUUUACUGUAUUAACUAUAUUUUAGGGUCAGUAAACAGCUCUAGCUGAUGAGCAUUAUUUUAUUUUCUGCAGAAGAGUGCCAGCUAAUGAAUGUGGAAAGAAUGAGAAAAUCAUAAACUUGCAUCUCCCAAUGAAAUAAUUGCUUGAGACAGUGAUCUUCAAUGGAAUAGACAAAUUAGGUGAAACGUUGUUGGGAACUUUACAGUGAGAGUUGUGUUGUCACCACCUGAACCACUCAUUAGCCAAGUGUCACUCAUAUGGAGGACCAGCCAGUGUGUGCUCCUGAGGGAGCAUCACUGAUGCGUUCUUGCCACACAAACAAGUUGACUGUCCAUUUAAUCAAGCCUCCAGAGCCAGCUUCCAUUUAUGAGAGAAGGGGAGAGUAACAAUAGCAGUAACAUCAGAAAGAAGGAUAGAAAAAUGCAACAUGUGAGCCAUUGUACAGGGUAAAUAACCAAGUUUCUGUAAUAAAUCAAUGAUGUGGGGGACAACAGGUAUGAGGGAGAAGGAACUGUUCUAUUUUAAAACAACUAAAUCUUGUUUGAAUCAUGAUUCAGAUAAACUGAUGCUGAGAAGGACAUUUUUUGAGGCACUCAGGGAAAAUUAGUUGUGGAAUUAUGUACAUUGAGUAAUGACCGUAAAUUAUCAUUUUAUGAGGUGUGAUAAUGGUAUCAUAAUUGUUAAUGAAAUAUAUUUUUAAAAGAUAUAAACUGAAAUAUAGGAGUGAAAUGAAAGGAGUUCUAGGAUUUAAAAUAAUUCAGCAAAGAAUUUAAAAAACCCAGUGCUAUCAAAUGGAGCAAAAUCUUGAGGGUUACAUGGUGACUCAUUAUACUUUGAUCUUCUGUGUAUGUUUGAAAUGCUUUAAGAUAAAAUAAUUUUUGGAGUUCCCGUCGUGGCUCAGAGGAAACAAAUCCGACUAGGAACCGUGAGGUUGCAGGUUCAAUCCCUGGCCUUGCUCAGUGGAUUAAGGAUCCGGCAUUGCCAUGAGCUGUGGUGUAGGUUUCAGACGUGGCUUGGAUCCUGUGUUGCUGUGGCUCUGGUGUAGGCCAGCAGCAAUAGCUCUGAU
Molecule: long non-coding RNA, 2739 nt
Filed under: Sus scrofa (pig)
Lineage: Eukaryota; Metazoa; Chordata; Mammalia; Artiodactyla; Suidae
Description: lncRNA (ENSSSCG00040035861.1)
Source: RNAcentral